ACGGAGGAUCCAAGCGUUAUCCGGAUUUACUGGGUUUAAAGGGUGCGUAGGCGGACUGAUAAGUCUGUGGUGAAAGCCUAGGGCUUAACUGUAGAAGUGCCAUUGAAACUGCAAGUCUGGAGUAUGGUUGAGGAAGCUGGAAUUCGUCAUGUAGCGGUGAAAUGCGUAGAGAUGACACAGAACACCAACGGCGAAGGCAGCUUACUGACCCGUUACUGACGCUGAGACACGAAAGCGUGGGGAUCAAACAG
This 251-nucleotide ribosomal RNA is filed under the name uncultured prokaryote. RNAcentral's name for it is "partial 16S rRNA". It matches the Rfam family "Bacterial small subunit ribosomal RNA", at positions 525 to 775 of the family's 1533-position model. The record is from RNAcentral.